RNAcentral lists this transfer RNA (74 nucleotides) under Cytophagaceae bacterium. RNAcentral describes it as "tRNA-Leu". It matches the Rfam family "tRNA". Rfam says of the family: Transfer RNA (tRNA) molecules are approximately 80 nucleotides in length. The record is from RNAcentral. Lineage: Bacteria; Pseudomonadati; Bacteroidota; Cytophagia; Cytophagales; Cytophagaceae.
GCCGAGGUAACCCAACUGGUAGAGGUCGCAAUCUUAAACGUUGCAAAGUGCGGGUUCGAAUCCCGUCCUCGGUA